CUACGUGCCAGCAGCCGCGGUAAUACGGAAGGUUCGGGCGUUAUCCGGAUUUAUUGGGUUUAAAGGGAGCGUAGGCCGGAGAUUAAGUGUGUUGUGAAAUGUAGACGCUCAACGUCUGACUUGCAGCGCAUACUGGUUUCCUUGAGUACGCACAACGUUGGCGGAAUUCGUCGUGUAGCGGUGAAAUGCUUAGAUAUCAUGAAGAACUCCGAUUGCGAAGGCAGCAUACGGGAGUGUAACUGACGCUUAAGCUCGAAGGUGCGGGUAUCGAACAGGAUUAGAUACCCUGGUAGUCCGCACAGUAAACGAUGGAUGCCCGCUGUUAGCGCCUGGCGUUAGCGGCUAAGCGAAAGCAUUAAGCAUCCCACCUGGGGAGUACGCCGGCAACGGUGAAACUCAAAGGAAUUGACGGGGGCCCGCACAAGCGGAGGAACAUGUGGUUUAAUUCGAUGAUACGCGAGGAACCUUACCCGGGCUUGAAUUGCAGAGGAAUUAUUUAGAGAUA
This 505-nucleotide ribosomal RNA is filed under the name uncultured bacterium. RNAcentral describes it as "bacterial SSU rRNA". It matches the Rfam family "Bacterial small subunit ribosomal RNA", at positions 501 to 1008 of the family's 1533-position model. The record is from RNAcentral.